GAGUAACACGUGGGUGAUCUGCCCUGCACUUCGGGAUAAGCCUGGGAAACUGGGUCUAAUACCGGAUAGGACCACGGGAUGCAUGUCUUGUGGUGGAAAGCGCUUUAGCGGUGUGGGAUGAGCCCGCGGCCUAUCAGCUUGUUGGUGGGGUGACGGCCUACCAAGGCGACGACGGGUAGCCGGCCUGAGAGGGUGUCCGGCCACACUGGGACUGAGAUACGGCCCAGACUCCUACGGGAGGCAGCAGUGGGGAAUAUUGCACAAUGGGCGCAAGCCUGAUGCAGCGACGCCGCGUGGGGGAUGACGGCCUUCGGGUUGUAAACCUCUUUCACCAUCGACGAAGGUCCGGGUUCUCUCGGAUUGACGGUAGGUGGAGAAGAAGCACCGGCCAACUACGUGCCAGCAGCCGCGGUAAUACGUAGGGUGCGAGCGUUGUCCGGAAUUACUGGGCGUAAAGAGCUCGUAGGUGGUUUGUCGCGUUGUUCGUGAAAUCUCACGGCUUAACUGUGAGCGUGCGGGCGAUACGGGCAGACUAGAGUACUGCAGGGGAGACUGGAAUUCCUGGUGUAGCGGUGGAAUGCGCAGAUAUCAGGAGGAACACCGGUGGCGAAGGCGGGUGUCUGGGCAGUAACUGACGCUGAGGAGCGAAAGCGUGGGGAGCGAACAGGAUUAGAUACCCUGGUAGUCCACGCCGUAAACGGUGGGUACUAGGUGUGGGUUUCCUUCCUUGGGAUCCGUGCCGUAGCUAACGCAUUAAGUACCCCGCCUGGGGAGUACGGCCGCAAGGCUAAAACUCAAAGGAAUUGACGGGGGCCCGCACAAGCGGCGGAGC
This 832-nucleotide ribosomal RNA is filed under the name Mycobacterium tuberculosis. RNAcentral's name for it is "bacterial SSU rRNA". It matches the Rfam family "Bacterial small subunit ribosomal RNA", at positions 108 to 938 of the family's 1533-position model. The record is from RNAcentral. Lineage: Bacteria; Bacillati; Actinomycetota; Actinomycetes; Mycobacteriales; Mycobacteriaceae.